ACGACCUCCAUUUACAUUUACUUCGAGGCAUUCCCCUGUUUAAAAUAUAUACAAAUAUUUUGGGACAUUUCCCGAAUGAAUUUAACUAUGGGAACGACCUCUCGACUCAAAAUUAAAAAAAGUCCUAAAGCUUGCCUAUUCGAGUGUGACUGGCCUAAGCAUACUCCUAACGAAUAAACCAAUAGAACAAAAUAAUUAGCAUGCUAAACCUAACCUUCAUUAUUAACGUCCAACCUCCCACAACCAACCAAAUUCGUCAGAUCUGUUAACGAGCAACCACUACCAAUUCUUAGUUCAUUCCUUAUUUAAUAUUUAACUAACUCGGAUUAUGUAAUUAAGCUUAACCUAUAAUAUAGAACAACAAUAAUAAUUCAGUAUAAUCCCAUUUAGUAGGGUCUAGGAGGGUAACGUGUACGCAGACAUUACCCGUAUCCUUGGAUAGAAAGGCUGUUUUCAAAUAGACCCCGGCAUACUUACCUCCAAGAACUUACCACCUUACUCUUGGGGAGACUCGAACUCGCAAACUCGAUUGGAAGUGGAGUUUGUUUAACAUAAGAGCAACCCUCUGGUUCUAUAACCUAUAAUAUAGAACAAGUAGGGGGAAAAAAUCUACUUUGUGUCAUGAACAUUAGCCAACAAACAAUACAUCAAACAUGUAGAAAAAUAUUUAAGCUAUGUAAAAUCGAGCAUAAGGCAUCAAGAAACGAGAGAAAUAAGGCAAGAAUUUGACCUCGAAUUGAGCAAAACAGCUUCAAAACUCGGUUAAAUAUAAAAUCCCAGGCUCAGCAAUUUACAGUUGAAAGCCGUGAACAAAGAACUCGAACCACAAAUAGGAAAAGGCGACGGAAUUCGGACGAAACUGAAACGGAUCUCCUUGCACAACGACCUCCGGCGACCUCGAAUCUGCGAUUGGAACCACGGAAAAAUAUUUGAAGGUAUGCGCUGGAAAUUGAAGGUAUGGUGGAGUCGGGGCUGUUUAUGGGCGUGUUGAGAGUGAUCGUCGUUUCAGUGAGGUGAAGAAGCAGGUCGCCGUUGUUGGUGUCAGGGUGUGUUGAUUCUUGGUGAAGAUGGCUGCCCUGGUGUCGUGAGGAAGAUGAUAUGCGGCGCUAGGUUUUCUCUGUUUUAUAUAUGUGUAGGUGAGGAACGUGCACUGCUGCCUAAGGAGAUUGAGAGAAUAUUUUGUGAUUAGGAGUGUUAAGAUAAAUGUACUAAAAAUAACAAUUGAAA
RNAcentral lists this long non-coding RNA (1227 nucleotides) under Nicotiana benthamiana. RNAcentral's name for it is "long non-coding RNA (NBEN_LNC008056)". Lineage: Eukaryota; Viridiplantae; Streptophyta; Magnoliopsida; Solanales; Solanaceae. The record is from RNAcentral.